GCUGCCAUCGUCUAGUGGACUAGGACAUCGCUCUCUCAAGGCGAAGGCCAUGGGUUCGAAUCCCAUUGGCAGCA
Molecule: transfer RNA, 74 nt
Filed under: Endomicrobium sp.
Lineage: Bacteria; Pseudomonadati; Elusimicrobiota; Endomicrobiia; Endomicrobiales; Endomicrobiaceae
Description: tRNA-Glu
Rfam family: tRNA
About the family: Transfer RNA (tRNA) molecules are approximately 80 nucleotides in length. Their secondary structure includes four short double-helical elements and three loops (D, anti-codon, and T loops).
Source: RNAcentral